Macaca mulatta (Rhesus monkey) is the source of this 454-nucleotide non-coding RNA. The record is from RefSeq and is a predicted model, not a curated record. Lineage: Eukaryota; Metazoa; Chordata; Mammalia; Primates; Cercopithecidae.
CGGAUCACGAGGUCAGGAGAUUGAGACCAGCCUGACCUACAAGAUGAGGGAAUUGCAGCUAGUUGGAUUAAGAAGUGUUUCCCAGUCACACAGGUAGUAAGACAUGUACUCAGACAACUGCCAAGUAAGGCUUCCCUAUGACAAAUAAGUCUGGCUUCACUUUCAAUGCAAAUAAUCAUGUGAACCUGAGACCACCAGCUAACAUCUGAAUUCUGAUUCUGAGGUGGAUGGAUGGAUGCAGCCCAUAGGACAAAUGCAGUGAAUUCCUACGCCUGUAUACUCUCACGAGGGUUAAAGCUUCUCUUCUGGGUUCUAUCAUGGCUCUCAUCUUGCUGGAUCAAGGGUGGUCUUCCUGUGUCCCCAUGCUGGAGAAUUGUGACUUUGGGCUCAAUAUCUGUAGCAUCUAGCACAGCGUCUUUCCCAUCAUAAUAAGAUCGGUGGUAAUUUCCAUUUA